This 518-nucleotide long non-coding RNA is filed under the name Setaria italica (foxtail millet). Its description in RNAcentral is "long non-coding RNA (SITA_LNC002637)". Lineage: Eukaryota; Viridiplantae; Streptophyta; Magnoliopsida; Poales; Poaceae. The record is from RNAcentral.
GCUAGUGCAGAGGCAGCGGCAGCGGCAGCGGCAGCAAUGCUAACUUCUUACUGAAGUGGGUAAUUACUUCCGGUUCUAUUUCUGCAUCAGAGCUAGUAAUACCUUGAAUAACUGAAUCAGAUGCUAAUCCUUGUUUCCAGUUACGCCUUCUAAGUAUCCUACCAUUUGCAGUACCACAAAGCACAGGCAGAUGCAGAGUCAGUAACUCAGAGCUCAGGUGCAGAAGACUAGAAGAGUUCAUCAGAAUCUCCUCAACUCGAAACAUUCAGUGCCCAAGCAUGCCAAGAGUCCAAGAUGAUGCAAAAGCAUCUCUCUUUGUUCCAGCACAUCUUCUGUUCCAGGUUUUCUUAUGUCAAUCAGCGAUGAUUUGGUACAGCACCAAGCAGAGUUGUAUGCCUGCAAUUCGGGAAGAAAUUACAGCAAGAACAGAUGGCACUAUAGCAGGGGAGGAUUACUCCUCAAACGGCUGCGAAUUAUUCCAGUUUCCAAACCAUGAAGUUUCAGCCCUAAGCAUAGAG